GCGGAUGUAGCCAAGUGGAUUAAGGCAGUGGAUUGUGAAU
Molecule: transfer RNA, 40 nt
Filed under: Eutrema salsugineum
Lineage: Eukaryota; Viridiplantae; Streptophyta; Magnoliopsida; Brassicales; Brassicaceae
Also listed under: 5 other names
Description: partial tRNA-His
Source: RNAcentral